This 69-nucleotide transfer RNA is filed under the name Actinopolymorpha pittospori. RNAcentral describes it as "tRNA-Phe". Lineage: Bacteria; Bacillati; Actinomycetota; Actinomycetes; Propionibacteriales; Actinopolymorphaceae. The record is from RNAcentral.
UUCUGAGCCGGGAACAGAUCCAGUCUGAAAAGCGGAAGGUCGGCGGUUCGACCCCGCCCCUGCCCACCA